GAUGAAGAACGUAGCGAAAUGCGAUAAGUAGUGUGAAUUGCAGAAUUCAGUGAAUCAUCGAAUCUUUGAACGCACAUUGCGCCCCUUGGUAUUCCAUGGGGCAUGCCUGUUCGAGCAUCAUUUGUACCUUCAAGCUUUGCUUGGUGUUGGGUGUUUGUCCCGAGGGACUCGCCUUAAAGUAAUUGGCAGCCAGUGUUUGGUUUUGAAGCGCAGCACAAGUCGCGAUUCAAGGCUACACGCCCGCUUCCACAAGCCUUUUUUCACUUUUGACCUCGGAUCAGGUAGGGAUACCCGCUGAACUUAAGCAUAUCAAUAAGCGGAGGA
This 324-nucleotide unclassified non-coding RNA is filed under the name soil metagenome. RNAcentral describes it as "partial contains 5.8S ribosomal RNA, internal transcribed spacer 2, and large subunit ribosomal RNA". The stretch from base 1 to 120 matches the Rfam family "5.8S ribosomal RNA", at positions 35 to 154 of the family's 154-position model. The record is from RNAcentral.